Molecule: unclassified non-coding RNA, 271 nt
Filed under: Hevea brasiliensis (rubber tree)
Lineage: Eukaryota; Viridiplantae; Streptophyta; Magnoliopsida; Malpighiales; Euphorbiaceae
Source: RNAcentral
GGCCAGAUGCUCGACAAUUUUCGGUAGCCAACUUUUUUUUAUCACUAUUAACUUCACAAAAUAAUUCUGUUGUCGUCUCAGUUCAGAAAGUUAUCUCAUCCUAUCACUCCCUCUGCUUUUACCAGCGAACAUGAACAACUUGAGAUGAAUUUCCCCUGGACUACUUGCACUUCAUUUAAAGACUUUUUGUUUUGUUUUGUUGUUGUUGGGGGGGUGGUGGUUCUUGUUUGUUUUGAUUUGAGUUUUCAAUCGAUUGUAUAUAUGAUUAAGC